GAUGUUUUUGUCUCACUCUGAUAUCUAUGUCUGACAUGUACAGAAUGAGUUCUUCUAAAUCAUCAGGAAGGUCCCUAGCAGCCAGUUCAUCCUGCAGCAUCUCACUUAGGCCUAGCAGUCAGAGCAUUAUUGUUCCAUGACACUUCAGAAGAACUGUGAAGAACUGUCUGCAAUGGGUCUGAUAUCUUUCAGCCAAGAGGACUAAACACUUCCUUAAAGGCUUCUAUGAAGCGAACAUAACCAAAAGGCUCAUUACGUUCCCAUAGUAGGUUGUUCAAGGCCAAGGUUUCCAUCAGGUGGAUUCAUUAUGAAAUCCACUUAGGAUCUGUCAGUGGGAAAAGAGUUGGGGACCAUUUCGAUAUGUAGCCCUAUCUGGUUAAGAAAGACUGCACAACGUGAGGUCACCUGUACACCUAGUCGGAGGUGUGAAAUGUACCAAAGGAGUGAACACUGCGGUAGAAGGAGCAGAGGAUUUCCCCUUUAAUCCCAGUAGCUUGAUCUUCAGGUUAAAGACAUGGUUCUGGAAAAGAUUGUUUGCAAAACCUGCGCAAAUUGAUCAUUUCUAUGAUCAAAUUGCUCCAUUAUAACUUCAUAGGAAGCUAGUUGUUGCCCCAUGUUUG
Pelobates cultripes (western spadefoot toad) is the source of this 620-nucleotide non-coding RNA. Lineage: Eukaryota; Metazoa; Chordata; Amphibia; Anura; Pelobatidae. The record is from the annotation of a GenBank genome assembly.